CACCUACGGGAGGCAGCAGUGGGGAAUAUUGGACAAUGGGCGAAAGCCUGAUCCAGCAAUGCCGCGUGAGUGAUGAAGGCCUUAGGGUUGUAAAGCUCUUUUACCCGGGAUGAUAAUGACAGUACCGGGAGAAUAAGCUCCGGCUAACUCCGUGCCAGCAGCCGCGGUAAUGCGGAGGGAGCUAGCGUUGUUCGGAAUUACUGGGCGUAAAGCGCACGUAGGCGGCUUUGUAAGUUAGAGGUGAAAGCCUGGAGCUCAACUCCAGAAUUGCCUUUAAGACUGCAUCGCUUGAAUCCGGGAGAGGUGAGUGGAAUUCCGAGUGUAGAGGUGAAAUUCGUAGAUAUUCGGAAGAACACCAGUGGCGAAGGCGGCUCACUGGACCGGUAUUGACGCUGAGGUGCGAAAGCGUGGGGAGCAAACAGGAUUAGAUACCCCGGUAGUC
Molecule: ribosomal RNA, 442 nt
Filed under: uncultured Sphingomonas sp.
Lineage: Bacteria; Pseudomonadati; Pseudomonadota; Alphaproteobacteria; Sphingomonadales; Sphingomonadaceae
Description: bacterial SSU rRNA
Rfam family: Bacterial small subunit ribosomal RNA
Source: RNAcentral